AUUGACCUCGGAUCAGGUAGGGAUACCCGCUGAACUUAAGCAUAUCAAUAAGCGGAGGAAAAGAAACCAACAGGGAUUGCCUCAGUAACGGCGAGUGAAGCGGCAACAGCUCAAAUUUGAAAUCUGGCCCCUUCGGGGUCCGAGUUGUAAUUUGUAGAGAGUGUUUCGGGGGGGACCGCGGUCUAAGUCCAUUGGAACAUGGUGUCAUAGAGGGUGAGAAUCCCGUAUGUGACCGCGGAUCGAACCCAUGUGAAGCCUCUUCGACGAGUCGAGUUGUUUGGGAAUGCAGCUCAAAAUGGGUGGUAAAUUUCAUCUAAAGCUAAAUACUGGCUGGAGACCGAUAGCGCACAAGUAGAGUGAUCGAAAGAUGAAAAGCACUUUGGAAAGAGAGUUAAACAGCACGUGAAAUUGUUGAAA
Molecule: ribosomal RNA, 417 nt
Filed under: Parmotrema subtinctorium
Lineage: Eukaryota; Fungi; Ascomycota; Lecanoromycetes; Lecanorales; Parmeliaceae
Description: eukaryotic LSU rRNA
Rfam family: Eukaryotic large subunit ribosomal RNA
Source: RNAcentral